This 73-nucleotide transfer RNA is filed under the name Stegodyphus mimosarum. It matches the Rfam family "tRNA". From Rfam's summary of the family: Transfer RNA (tRNA) molecules are approximately 80 nucleotides in length. The record is from Rfam by way of RNAcentral. Lineage: Eukaryota; Metazoa; Arthropoda; Arachnida; Araneae; Eresidae.
GCCUUCGUGGUGUAGUGGUGAGCACGCUUGACGCAUAUUCGAGAGGUCCGUGGUUCGAUUCCCGGCCAGGACA